Molecule: ribosomal RNA, 482 nt
Filed under: uncultured Methanosaeta sp.
Lineage: Archaea; Methanobacteriati; Methanobacteriota; Methanomicrobia; Methanotrichales; Methanotrichaceae
Description: bacterial SSU rRNA
Rfam family: Archaeal small subunit ribosomal RNA
Source: RNAcentral
AAAGGAAGUUGACGGGGAGCACCACAACGGGUGGAGCUUGUCGGUUUAAUUGGAUUCAACGCCGGAAUCUUACCGGGACCGACAGCAAUAUGAAGGCCAGGCUGAAGACUUUGCCGGAUUAGCUGAGAGGUGGUGCAUUGGCCGUCGUCAGUUCGUACUGUGAAGCAUCCUGUUAAGUCAGGCAACGAGCGAGACCCACGCCCACAGUUGCCAGCGUACUCUCUGGAGUGACGGGUACACUGUGGGGACCGCCGCUGCUAAAGCGGAGGAAGGAAUGGGCAACGGUAGGUCAGUAUGCCCCGAAUAUCCCGGGCUACACGCGAGCUACAAUGGUUGGUACAAUGGGUAUCUACCCCGAAAGGGGACGGGAAUCUCCUAAAACCAGUCUUAGUUCGGAUUGAGGGCUGCAACUCGCCCUCAUGAAGCUGGAAUCCGUAGUAAUCGCGUUUCAACAGAACGCGGUGAAUACGUCCCUGCUCCUU